GAACAAGUGCAUGUGGUGGAUGCCUUGGCGAUCACAGGCGAUGAAGGACGCGGUAGCCUGCGAAAAGCUACGGGGAGCUGGCAAACAAGCUUUGAUCCGUAGAUGUCCGAAUGGGGAAACCCACUCCUUUUGGAGUAUCCAUGGCUGAAUACAUAGGCCAUGUGAAGCGAACGCGGUGAACUGAAACAUCUAAGUAACCGCAGGAAAAGAAAUCAACCGAGAUUCCCAAAGUAGUGGCGAGCGAAAUGGGAUGAGCC
Molecule: ribosomal RNA, 257 nt
Filed under: Burkholderia latens
Lineage: Bacteria; Pseudomonadati; Pseudomonadota; Betaproteobacteria; Burkholderiales; Burkholderiaceae
Description: partial 23S ribosomal RNA
Rfam family: Bacterial large subunit ribosomal RNA
Source: RNAcentral